GGCCGCGGGAAUUCGAUUGGAUCGCCCUUAGAGUUUGAUCAUGGCUCAGAAUGAACGCUGGCGGCGUGCUUAACACAUGCAAGUCGAACGAGAAAGGGAUUGCUUGCAAUCCUGAGUAGAGUGGCGCACGGGUGAGUAACACGUAGAUAAUCUACCCUCAAGCCCGGGAUAACCGUUCGAAAGGACGGCUAAUACCGGAUGCAGUUCAUUUACACAAGUGGAUGGAUGAAAGACUGCCUCUUCAUGAAAGCAGUUGUUUGGGGAUGAGUUUGCGUACCAUUAGCUUGUUGGUGGGGUAAGGGCCUACCAAGGCUGUGAUGGUUAGCUGGUCUGAGAGGAUGAUCAGUCACACUGGAACUGGAACACGGUCCAGACUCCUACGGGAGGCAGCAGUGAGGAAUUUUGCGCAAUGGGGGAAACCUUGACGCAGCAACGCCGCGUGAGUGAAGAAGGCCCUUGGGUCGUAAAGCUCUGUCAACCGGGAAGAAGUUAUGCAGCAUGAAUAGUGAUGCAUAUUGACGGUACCGGUGGAGGAAGCGCCGGCUAACUCCGUGCCAGCAGCCGCGGUAACACGGGGGGCGCAAGCGUUAUUCGGAAUUAUUGGGCGUAAAGGGCGCGUAGGCGGUUCUGUCGGUCAGAUGUGAAAUCCCGGGGCUCAACCCUGGAAGUGCAUUUGAAACAGCAGAACUUGAGUACGGGAGAGGAAAGCGGAAUUCCUGGUGUAGAGGUGAAAUUCGUAGAUAUCAGGAGGAACACCGAUGGCGAA
RNAcentral lists this ribosomal RNA (766 nucleotides) under uncultured bacterium. Its description in RNAcentral is "partial 16S ribosomal RNA". It matches the Rfam family "Bacterial small subunit ribosomal RNA", at positions 1 to 719 of the family's 1533-position model. The record is from RNAcentral.